GUGCGCGCUCCGGCAGCACAGACACUAAAACUGGAACGACACAGAGGAGAUUAGCAUAGCCCCUGUGCAAGGAUAACAUGCAAAUUCAUGAAGCGUUCCAUAUUGAA
Tupaia belangeri (northern tree shrew) is the source of this 107-nucleotide small nuclear RNA. The record is from Ensembl. NCBI's taxonomy places the organism in Eukaryota, Metazoa, Chordata, Mammalia, Scandentia, Tupaiidae.